UGGGAUUACCUUAGUAACGGCGAGUGAAGCGGUAAAAGCUCAAAUUUGAAAUCUGGUACUUUCAGUGCCCGAGUUGUAAUUUGUAGAAUUUGUCUUUGAUUAGGUCCUUGUCUAUGUUCCUUGGAACAGGACGUCAUAGAGGGUGAGAAUCCCGUUUGGCGAGGAUACCUUUUCUCUGUAAGACUUUUUCGAAGAGUCGAGUUGUUUGGGAAUGCAGCUCAAAGUGGGUGGUAAAUUCCAUCUAAAGCUAAAUAUUGGCGAGAGACCGAUAGCGAACAAGUACAGUGAUGGAAAGAUGAAAAGAACUUUGAAAAGAGAGUGAAAAAGUACGUGAAAUUGUUGAAAGGGAAGGGCAUUUGAUCAGACAUGGUGUUUUUUGCAUGCACUCGCCUCUCGUGGGCUUGGGCCUCUCAAAAAUUUCACUGGGCCAACAUCAAUUCUGGCAGUAGGAUAAAUCAUUAAGAAUGUAGCUACCUCGGUAGUGUUAUAGCUUAUUGGAAUACUGCUAGCUGGGAUUGAGGACUGCGCUUCGGCAAGGAUGUUGGCAUAAUGGUUAAAUGCCGCCCG
This 567-nucleotide ribosomal RNA is filed under the name Hanseniaspora opuntiae. Its description in RNAcentral is "LSU rRNA". It matches the Rfam family "Eukaryotic large subunit ribosomal RNA", at positions 70 to 651 of the family's 3401-position model. Lineage: Eukaryota; Fungi; Ascomycota; Saccharomycetes; Saccharomycodales; Saccharomycodaceae. The record is from RNAcentral.